Xenopus laevis (African clawed frog) is the source of this 1436-nucleotide long non-coding RNA. RefSeq lists it as uncharacterized. The record is from RefSeq and is a predicted model, not a curated record. The transcript has 3 exons. NCBI's taxonomy places the organism in Eukaryota, Metazoa, Chordata, Amphibia, Anura, Pipidae.
CCUGUAACUCUGCCUCCUCUGCCGAACCCGGGAACAAAUUGGCUAAUCCUAGCGCACCACAGCAAAAGGGGGCGGGGAGUGGCCCUCUCCUUAGCCCUGUCAGGCCCUGCUUCCCUAACCGGCUCAUUGGGUUCCAGCCUGUUACUCUUCACUGUCACCCCCUCCCUCUUUCUCUAUCAGAGAUAGGGAUGUGUGCCUGCUCCGACUCAGUAGCUCUGGACUUGUGCAAAGCCCUGUCUGAUACCCCCUGGCCAGCCAAGCCAGCACCUGUCUCCCUGUGAAUCUCAUUGCGCCCAUGACUGCUUCUUCUGCGACUGACUGCACCUUGCCCUCGCUCUCCACUGUAGAUGGGCAGCUGUCGGGAAAGUUACGGGAAAUAGAAUCAGUCACAUGAAUACCAGGAAAUAGAGUGCUCCAUGCAAGCAUUAAAACAAGGAGAUCUGCCAGGCCUUCUCCAAUUGAUAUCCCAGUCUGUCUUUCAAACCACUGCCCGGCUACUAGGCUAAAUAGUCCCUAGCAUCCUUAAAGCUGCUAAAAUUCCAGAUUGGAGAGUUGCUAAGCAAAAAGCUAAAUAAUUCCAAAGCAAAUAACAAAAAGAAGAUCGAUUGCAUUUUGUCUCAGAAUAUCACCAUCUACAUCAUUUUAAAAGUUAAUUUAAAGGUGAACUACCCCUUUAAUCAGACGCUUUAGUGAUAUUUUAUAUCACAAAUAAUUUCCAUCACUUUCCAAACAGGUUGAAGUUGUAUAUCAGUAUAGGUUAUUUGGGUAUCUGCCAAGCUGUGUACAAUUCAGUUUUUCCAUUCUGCCAGGAUAGUUUGGCUGAGUCAUAGACACGCAAGAUCCUUAAUAUAUGUUUCAUGUUGAGACAAUACGUGGUUGUGGUGCUUAAUUCUGCAUACUGUAGGAAGCAUUAUUUUAAAUUCUGACACACCUGCUAAUCUUGUAUCAUCUGUAGGGAAACUUUAAUGGCAAACUAUGUGCUUUUGAUUACAUAUCAUUAGACAAGAUUGUGACGUAUGAUACCGACUGUAAAUUCCACUAGGCCAGGACAAUUAGUCACAUAUGUUCAUUUUUAUAUUGAUAAAUACUGAUACGGGUGAAUUCCUACAGUCAUAUACAAUACGUCUAUUUAUAUGCAAGUUAUUUAGGAUAAUGUGUCACAACUGCAUUUGAAUGCAUUUAUUUUCAGUUUUGAAAUAAUCCCCGGCCCUCUGGUAGUGAUGAUAAGAAGUGAAUGGUUUCUGUCAAUUGACACAGUGCAGCCCUAAUAACUGGCUUAGUGAGAGUUCAAAUCUAUUUAUAAUGGUCAGAGAAGGAAUUUGGCUCCCCUUCACCAACACCAAUGUGGCUAAAUUAGCUGCUUAAGGGGGUUAUUUAUCAAAAGUCGAGUUUGUGAGUUUUUUUUGUACCUUGAAAAAACUCAAAUUUGUACAAUA